Molecule: ribosomal RNA, 1039 nt
Filed under: Cassida viridis
Lineage: Eukaryota; Metazoa; Arthropoda; Insecta; Coleoptera; Chrysomelidae
Description: 16S ribosomal RNA
Rfam family: Bacterial large subunit ribosomal RNA (bases 650-1000)
Source: RNAcentral
CUCGAAUUUAAAAGAGUUAAAUUAAAAUAUAUUUUAUUGUGUCAAAAAUAUUUAAAAUUUUAAUUUAGAAGUUAUAUGUUAUUCAUUUUUAAGUAUAUCUAGUUUUUAAAGAAACAAAUUUAAUUUGAUUUAUAUUAAUAUAGAAAAUUUAUAUUUUUUUUGUUUAUAUAAUUUUAUUGGUUUUGGGAUAAGCUAAAAUUAAUAUUUUUAUUAUUUUGUAUUUAUUUUUAGAUUGAUAGGAUUAGAAAUUUUCAUUUUUAAAAUUAUGUUAUAAUUUUUCUAGGUUUAUAAAUAUUUCAAUUUGUAUAAGUUUUUUAUUUAAAUUUUUAUUUUAAUUUUAAAAUUAAAGUAAUAAUGAUAAAAUUAGUAAAAAUAUAUUUAUAUUUGUUUUUUAGUUUUAAGUAAUAAUUAGGAAUUCGGCAAAUGGUUUUUCACCUGUUUAUUAAAAACAUGUCUUCUUGAUUAUAAUUUGAAGUCUGACCUGCUCUAUGAAUUUUAAAUGGCCGCAGUAUUUUGACUGUGCUAAGGUAGCAUAAUAAUUAGUUUCUUAAUUAGAAGCUUGUAUGAAUGGUUUGAUGAAAAAACUUCUUUCUUAUUAUUAAUUACUUUGAAUUUUAUCUUUAAGUAAAAAAGCUUAAAUAUUUUUAUGGGACGAGAAGACCCUUUAGAAUUUUAUAAAUCUAAAAAUUGAUUUUUUUAGAAUUUAUAAAUUGAUUUAUUAGUUUUAUUUAAUUGGGGUGAUUAAAAAAUUUAAUAAACUUUUUUUAUUAAAAACAUUUUAAAAGGUUUUUUGAUCCGUUUUAACGAUUAAAAGAAAAAAUUACCUAAGGGAUAACAGCGUUAUAAUUUUUAAGAGUUCUUAUCGAAAAAAUUGAUUGCGACCUCGAUGUUGGAUUAGAAUUUCUUCUUGGUGCAGAAGCUAAGAGUGAAGGUCUGUUCGACCUUUAAAUUUCUACAUGAUCUGAGUUUAGACCGGCGUGAGCCAGGUUGGUUUCUAUCUUUAAAUUAUGAUAAUAUUUUAGUACGAGAGGAUUAAAUA